GCGUACUCCAGUUCUGGUCGUACGCAACAAGUGUGUCCCAGAUGCUUUAGAACGCUAACCAGUCCCGUGGACCCAUGAAGGAUCUGCAACUGUUUUUGGAGGUGACCCUGCAGGAUGUCAUCAACGAACCCAAGGUUAACGCAUGCGAGGGCACAUCUCUGUUCAAGCAUGUUGUG
Ornithodoros turicata is the source of this 176-nucleotide long non-coding RNA. RefSeq lists it as uncharacterized. NCBI's taxonomy places the organism in Eukaryota, Metazoa, Arthropoda, Arachnida, Ixodida, Argasidae. The record is from RefSeq and is a predicted model, not a curated record. The transcript has 4 exons.